Long non-coding RNA from Oreochromis aureus, 1443 nucleotides. The record is from Ensembl. Lineage: Eukaryota; Metazoa; Chordata; Actinopteri; Cichliformes; Cichlidae.
GCCAGCGUUCUUAAAAGUGGUCCACGACGGUGGGGGUCGAUGAGGGGGACCUGACAACCCGGCAAUUAAUCAGCAAACAGGUGAAUAUUGACACUCUGAAACACGUUGCGAAAAAUCAUAGGAGGCUCGCCCGAGAGGGGCUGGUAGCAUUUUAAAAUAAAAUAGAGCUCGUCUGGGACUGGUAGCUCCCCCGUAGUGGGUAAAGGUAGCGCGCGAAUAAAGGUAUUUAUUGCUUUAUUUUUGUUGGUGGAAUAAGUUGAUUUUACAGCACAAUAAGGAGGCUGAACUAUUCCACUAAUUUGUUUACUGUUGGCCACCCAAGUACUGGUGAAAAGAGAAACAGGUCGUGUUUCAUCACGUAAAGGUGACACCGCUUUCAAGAAUAGCUUGAAAGUAGAAGGCCGUGUCAACUACCUCUCUCGAUUCUCGUGCCAGAGAAGGUGCCGCAGUUGUGUAGUUGUAAAGGAUUAAAAUGGGUAACGAAGCUUCAAAACUCACUGCUGACGAGCAGUGGUUAGAGAAAAUGUCCAGGCGCCGGACAAAUUAGUGCAUGUAGAUGGAGAAAUCCAAAAGAAAACUAUAUGUCCCACGUGGGAGGGAAAAUGUAGCCCCUCCGCAUUGACUAAAUUAAAAGAAAUGUCAGGGUCCUGGGACUGGGCGACCCAGGACCCCUGGGCAGUCAUGGCCCUGUUAUAUUAUUAUGUAUUUUUGGUGUUGCUUCCCCUUCUCUAUGCUUGUACAUAUGUGUGUGUUUGGGUGGCUGUGUGUCUGAGCACUCGUUUAUAGGCGCCUUCAGGCCUGGUGGGUGUGGCCCUGCUAGGGGAUUGACCACACCCGAAGCCACACACCUGCUGCUGAUCAGGCCUCGUCGGGGGAGCUACUUAAGAGAGUCUUGGAGCUCCCACCGACGCGGGAUAAUUGCGUUAGACUCCACGAGAAGUGUGGAGCACCAGACAGCAGCCAGCACGCGGAGUGCUGAGACACGGGAGCGGAGGGCACUGAGACACGACACGGGAGUCAGGGGAAAUCACAGGGGAUUUAUUGUCAUUAUUCCAUUCACUGUAAAUAAACGCACUGUUUAUACACAGAGCACCGCGACUGGGUCCUCCUCAUUCCCCAUAUCCCCACGGUCCGCCAUGCCAGACCGUGACAAGAAACCCUCCAAGCAGAAAUAAAUACUGAAAAGGAUGCUAAAAAGAAAACAAAGCAUACACAAGAGUUGUAAUAUUUUAAAGCAUGGAAAGAGGAAUAAAGUGGAAUAAACAAAAGGUUAAAUUAAAUUAGAGCUUAUCUUUAGGGUAUUCAAACUGAUAAUAGGAAGGAUAACAACCUGUAAACUGGUAUUAACAAUGAAACAUAGUUGGCAUGACGACCGUGCCUAGAAUGAAUAGAAUGCAUGAAACCAGAUGAUUCACACGAAAAUAUAUCAAAUAAGAAAGGGAG